ACGCACGCUGGCGGCGUGCUUCACCCAUGCAAGUCGAACGGAAAGGCUCCAGCUUGCUGGAGUACUCGAGUGGCGAACGGGUGAGUAACACGUGGGUGAUCUGCCCUGCACUUCGGGAUAAGCCUGGGAAACUGGGUCUAAUACCGGAUAGGACCGCACUUUGGUGUGUGUGGUGGAAAGGUUUUUCUGGUGUGGGAUGAGCUCGCGGCCUAUCAGUUUGUUGGUGGGGUAAUGGCCUACCAAGACGGCGACGGGUAGCCGGCCUGAGAGGGUGGACGGUCACAUUGGGACUGAGAUACGGCCCAGACUCCUACGGGAGGCAGCAGUGGGGAAUAUUGCACAAUGGGGGAAACCCUGAUGCAGCGACGCCGCGUGGGGGAUGAAGGCCUUCGGGUUGUAAACUCCUUUCGCUAGGGACGAAGCUUUUUGUGACGGUACCUGGAGAAGAAGCACCGGCUAACUACGUG
This 467-nucleotide ribosomal RNA is filed under the name uncultured bacterium. Its description in RNAcentral is "partial 16S ribosomal RNA". It matches the Rfam family "Bacterial small subunit ribosomal RNA", at positions 29 to 507 of the family's 1533-position model. The record is from RNAcentral.